AUCCAGAUGACGAGUCCAAAAUAGGAAGAAACGUACGUACUGGAU
This is a non-coding RNA of Schistosoma curassoni, 45 nucleotides long. The record is from Rfam. Lineage: Eukaryota; Metazoa; Platyhelminthes; Trematoda; Strigeidida; Schistosomatidae.